GACAGAGGUCCCAAGCGUUAGGCGGAAUCACUGGGCUUAAAGCGUGUGUAGGCGGAUCCGUAAGUACCUUGUGAAAUCCCACGGCUCAACCGUGGAACUGCUGGGUAUACUGCGGGUCUUGAGCCACCUAGGGGCGAGCGGAACAAGUGGUGGAGCGGUGAAAUGCGUAGAUAUCACUUGGAACGCCAAAGGUGAAAACAGGUUGCUGGGAAUGUGCCGACGCUGAGACACGAAAGCCAGGGGAGCAAACGGG
Molecule: ribosomal RNA, 253 nt
Filed under: uncultured bacterium
Lineage: Bacteria
Description: partial 16S ribosomal RNA
Rfam family: Bacterial small subunit ribosomal RNA
Source: RNAcentral